UACGGGAGGAGCAGUGGGGAAUAUUGCACAAUGGGCGCAAGCCUGAUGCAGCCAUGCCGCGUGUAUGAAGAAGGCCUUCGGGUUGUAAAGUACUUUCAGUCGUGAGGAAGGUGUUAAGGUUAAUAACCUUAGCAAUUGACGUUAGCGACAGAAGAAGCACCGGCUAACUCCGUGCCAGCAGCCGCGGUAAUACGGAGGGUGCGAGCGUUAAUCGGAAUUACUGGGCGUAAAGGGCACGCAGGCGGUUAAUUAAGUUGGAUGUGAAAUCCCCGGGCUUAACCUGGGAAUGGCAUUCAAGACUGGUUAGCUAGAGUCUUGUAGAGGGGGGUUAGAAUUCCAUGUGUAGCGGUGAAAUGCGUAGAGAUGUGGAGGAAUACCGGUGGCGAAGGCGGCCCCUGGACAAAGACUGACGCUCAUGUGCGAAAGCGUGGGGAGCAAACAGGGAUUAGAUACCCGU
Molecule: ribosomal RNA, 457 nt
Filed under: uncultured bacterium
Lineage: Bacteria
Description: bacterial SSU rRNA
Rfam family: Bacterial small subunit ribosomal RNA
Source: RNAcentral